CAACAUGUCAAAAAAUCUCCUAGAUUCGGGGUUUGGUUCUUCUCCUCUAUAAUGAUCAUGUACCAUCUGCUCAGUACCUACACCAUAAUCUAUAUCCAUUCUAGAUUCUUCUAACCUAAUAUCAGGCUGAGGUUCACUAACAUGCUGAGGUUCGCUAGUACUACCAUAUUCAUAACCAGUUUCCCCAUGAAGGUACCAAACUUUAUAAUUACGUGAAAACCCUUUCAUAUACAAAUGAGUCCAAACAUCAAAUUCUUUUAUAACCUUAUUA
RNAcentral lists this long non-coding RNA (271 nucleotides) under Brassica napus (rape). RNAcentral describes it as "long non-coding RNA (BNAP_LNC025397)". The record is from RNAcentral. Lineage: Eukaryota; Viridiplantae; Streptophyta; Magnoliopsida; Brassicales; Brassicaceae.